UACGGGGGGGGCAAGCGUUGUUCGGAAUUACUGGGCGUAAAGGGCUCGUAGGUGGCCAACUAAGUCAGACGUGAAAUCCCUCGGCUUAACCGGGGAACUGCGUCUGAUACUGGAUGGCUUGAGUUCGGGAGAGGGAUGCGGAAUUCCAGGUGUAGCGGUGAAAUGCGUAGAUAUCAGGAGGAAUACCGGUGGCGAAAGCGACUCUCUGGACGGCAACUGACGCUGAGGCACGAAAGCGUGGGGAGCAAACAGG
RNAcentral lists this ribosomal RNA (253 nucleotides) under uncultured bacterium. RNAcentral describes it as "partial 16S ribosomal RNA". It matches the Rfam family "Bacterial small subunit ribosomal RNA", at positions 524 to 776 of the family's 1533-position model. The record is from RNAcentral.